CCUACGGGAGGCAGCAGUGGGGAAUCUUGCGCAAUGGGCGAAAGCCUGACGCAGCCAUGCCGCGUGAAUGAUGAAGGUCUUAGGAUUGUAAAAAUUCUUUUCACCGGGGACGAUAAUGACGGUACCCGGAGAAGAAGCCCCGGCUAACUUCGUGCCAGCAGCCGCGGUAAUACGAAGGGGGGCUAGCGUUGCUCGGAAUUACUGGGCGUAAAGGGAGCGUAGGCGGAUAGUUUAGUCAGAGGUGAAAGCCCAGGGCUCAACCUUGGAAUUGCCUUUGAUACUGGCUAUCUUGAGUAUGGGAGAGGUUAGCGGAACUCCGAGUGUAGAGGUGAAAUUCGUAGAUAUUCGGAAGAACACCAGUGGCGAAGGCGGCUAACUGGCCCAUUACUGACGCUGAGGCUCGAAAGCGUGGGGAGCAAACAGGAUUAGAUACCCUGGUAGUCCACGCCGUAAACGAUGAGUGCUAGUUGUCGGCAUGCAUGCAUGUCGGUGACGCAGCUAACGCAUUAAGCACUCCGCCUGGGGAGUACGGUCGCAAGAUUAAAACUCAAAUGAAUUGACGG
This 563-nucleotide ribosomal RNA is filed under the name uncultured bacterium. RNAcentral describes it as "bacterial SSU rRNA". It matches the Rfam family "Bacterial small subunit ribosomal RNA", at positions 338 to 916 of the family's 1533-position model. The record is from RNAcentral.